This 335-nucleotide ribosomal RNA is filed under the name uncultured Planctomycetales bacterium. RNAcentral describes it as "bacterial SSU rRNA". It matches the Rfam family "Bacterial small subunit ribosomal RNA", at positions 473 to 806 of the family's 1533-position model. The record is from RNAcentral. Lineage: Bacteria; Pseudomonadati; Planctomycetota; Planctomycetia; Planctomycetales.
CAAAGGCUCCAAAGGAAGCCACGGCUAACUCUGUGCCAGCAGCCGCGGUAAUACAGAGGUGGCAAGCGUUGUUCGGAAUUAUUGGGCGUAAAGAGCACGUAGGUGGGUUUGUAAGUCAGAUGUGAAAGCCUUCUGUUCAACGGAAGAAUUGCAUCUGAAACUGCGAGUCUUGAGUGUAGGAGGGGAGAAUGGAACUUCUGGUGGAGCGGUGAAAUGCGUAGAUAUCAGAAGGAACGCCGGCGGCGAAAGCGAUUCUCUGGCCUAUUACUGACACUGAGUGUGCGAAAGCUAGGGGAGCAAACGGGAUUAGAUACCCCGGUAGUCCUAGCCGUAAA